Molecule: ribosomal RNA, 428 nt
Filed under: uncultured bacterium
Lineage: Bacteria
Description: bacterial SSU rRNA
Rfam family: Bacterial small subunit ribosomal RNA
Source: RNAcentral
UGGGGAAUCUUGCGCAAUGGGCGGAAGCCUGACGCAGCAACGCCGCGUGCGGGAAGAAGGCCUUAGGGUCGUAAACCGCUUUCAGGGGGGACGAAGCUUCCGGGGUUAAUAGCCUACGGGGUGACGGUACUCCCAAAAGAAGGUCCGGCUAACUACGUGCCAGCAGCCGCGGUAAUACGUAGGGACCGAGCGUUGUCCGGAAUUAUUGGGCGUAAAGAGCUCGUAGGUGGUUUGCCACGUCGGAUGUGAAAACCUGAGGCUUAACCUCAGGCCUGCAUUCGAUACGGGCAGACUAGAGUGUGGUAGGGGAGACUGGAAUUCCUGGUGUAGAGGUGAAAUUCGCAGAUAUCUGGAAGAACACCGGCGGCGAAGGCGGCCAACUGGACAAAGACUGACGCUGAGACACGAAAGCGUGGGGAGCAAACAGG